GCCAACUGCCGGACCAAGUUGGCCAGCGAAUUGUUGGCUACGUUCUCGAGCUCCGUACUGCAUCCGCUCGGCAGGGCUUUGUUGCUCAGGGGUUUCUUCGGCCAUACUAUACAACAGGAUUACUCAACUGACCAAUGAGAGCGCGGGCAUAAUAUCGAUUGGCCAGCUCAGCACCAGCCGACCCUAGGAGAAAAAUUGGGCAAUUAUUGCAACCCCCCCCCGCCAACGGAGCCGAAAGAAAAACACAGAGAAAUGUAUACAUUCAUCAAUGUUUGCUUCCUCGCUUACGACAGUAAUGUUCCGGGUUGUAACUGGAUACCGGCCGAGACUUUUAUGAUCUGUUAUUUUCUAUUUCAUCAUGAUUACCAGUAUGUGGUAAUCAUACACUCUAGCUUUCAGACAAAAGAAAACAAAUACAGGCAGAUUUGCAACACCCGCAAUCCGCGAAUUUCACGGUCGUGAAGAUAAUCUCGGGGUGGUGAAACAAACAAGUCUUUAUUUAAUGGCGUGAAAUGUACUGAGAUCGUAGAUUGUCGAGCAUUGACCCCCCAGCUGCACAAAGGCAACGAGGCUGAACUGAGACGGACGAGGAAGAAGUAAUGCUGGCGCCUAUAGGCGAGAGGGCUCAUGGUUGUCUUGGGUAUAAAUAGACAGCCUCUCACUUGAAGACCAGAUCAAAUAUCAUUUCUUCGUGACAACGGUACAAAUUAGUACAUCCGAAGCAUAAUGUGUCCGUCGCAUUGAGUACUUCGUGUUCAGUAUUUAUCCUUAAAUCGUCGUAUUCCCUUGCGUUUUGUUCCUGGCUGACCCAAAUUCUUUAUAUUAAUCUGAAUUUUGGUCACUGUUUGUCGAUUGUGUUAUUGUUAGUUUUCUUAUAAGUGAUUUCAAGUCAUUGUUUUUAUCAUUCAUCUGGUUUUUUUUUCAACCGAUUUCGAAUAUAAAGCCCGCGUUUUCCUUGAAUCUUACCUUAACUUAGCCUCUUUGAAGAGUGUUCUUUAAGUCUUACUUCUGAUGUUACCGGUAAAAUGCGGGUUAUUUCAAUGGCUCGAAUUAUUUAAGGCUGAGACCCCGACUGGGACGCAAUUGACUCAAUCAGGCAAGU
Long non-coding RNA from Acanthaster planci (crown-of-thorns starfish), 1102 nucleotides. RefSeq lists it as uncharacterized. The record is from RefSeq and is a predicted model, not a curated record. Lineage: Eukaryota; Metazoa; Echinodermata; Asteroidea; Valvatida; Acanthasteridae.